CUCUUGCUCACCCUUGACUUGGAAAAACCAGUUUCUCUUUUAUUGUCUGUUACUAAUCUCUAUUCUAAAAAUUCAGCUCAAUUCUCAACCAUACUCCAAACUCUCUCUUUUCCAGCUACCUUUACUCCCUCUCCUUCAAUUCCACUUUCCUCUGCUUACUUUUUUUUUUUUUCUGACAGGGUCUCACUUUGUCGCCCGGGCAGGAGUGCAGUGGCUCAAUCUUGGGCUCACUGCAGCCUCAACCUCCCAGGUUCAAGCGAUUCUCCUGCCUCAGCCCCUCAAGUAGCUGGGACUACAAGCGCACACCACCACGCCUGACUAAUUUUUUGUAUUUUUUUGUAGAGGCGGGGUUUCACCAUGUUGCCCAGACUGGUCUUGAACUCCUGAGCUUAAGCAAUCCACCUGCCUCGGCCUCCCAAAGUGUUGGGAUCACAGGCGUGAGCCACCGCAUCCGGCCUCAUGUUCUUUUUCAUUAAAGAGAGAAAUCAACUAUUCAGGACCGGCCCCCACCUUUCCUCAGGAGUCAUUUCUGUUCCGCACAGGCCUGCUGAACUGGGUGCUUUAUAUAGGGGUCCCCAGGCAGGUGGCUGGGACACUAUUUGCAAUCAGCAAGGAACCCUGCUGCCCUUAGACUCCCCACAGAGCAAGCAGAACUUGCAGAAUGGGGUAAAAACACUCUAUUAAAGAUUUUUUAAAC
Molecule: long non-coding RNA, 697 nt
Filed under: Homo sapiens (human)
Lineage: Eukaryota; Metazoa; Chordata; Mammalia; Primates; Hominidae
Description: HSALNT0021062
Source: RNAcentral